GCACCCGUAUUUCAACGGAUAGAAUGCGGGCCUCCGAAGCCCGAGAUCCAAGUUCGAUUCUUGGCGGGUGCACCA
This 75-nucleotide transfer RNA is filed under the name Patescibacteria group bacterium. RNAcentral's name for it is "tRNA-Arg". It matches the Rfam family "tRNA". Rfam says of the family: Transfer RNA (tRNA) molecules are approximately 80 nucleotides in length. Their secondary structure includes four short double-helical elements and three loops (D, anti-codon, and T loops). Further hydrogen bonds mediate the characteristic L-shaped molecular structure. tRNAs have two regions of fundamental functional importance: the anti-codon, which is responsible for specific mRNA codon recognition, and the 3' end, to which the tRNAs corresponding amino acid is attached (by aminoacyl-tRNA synthetases). tRNAs cope with the degeneracy of the genetic code in two manners: having more than one tRNA (with a specific anti-codon) for a particular amino acid; and 'wobble' base-pairing, i.e. permitting non-standard base-pairing at the 3rd anti-codon position. The record is from RNAcentral.